AUGAGUUCUGAGGUAUAUCAAGAGACCAGUGAAGAUGUUAAAUAUUAUUUUUUACCGUGCGACCUCCCACCAGCCCCGUUGUACCCUGAUGCCCACAAGGAAACGAUUAUUCCACAGGUCCCGUUACAAACUUUGUUGGAAAAAUUUAAUGGCAUUCGAGAACACCAGUGCAAGACAUAUAAAGAUAAUUUUGUUAAACGAUACCAGUUAUUAACACUACCUCCAUAUAUUAUUAUACAUGUGAAGAGAAUUACCACAAAUUUUUUUAGAACAGAAAAGAAUCCCACGAUUGUUAAUUUCCCUACAGA
Long non-coding RNA from Octopus sinensis (East Asian common octopus), 308 nucleotides. RefSeq lists it as uncharacterized. The record is from RefSeq and is a predicted model, not a curated record. Lineage: Eukaryota; Metazoa; Mollusca; Cephalopoda; Octopoda; Octopodidae. The transcript has 3 exons.